RNAcentral lists this long non-coding RNA (723 nucleotides) under Homo sapiens (human). Its description in RNAcentral is "HSALNT0229715". Lineage: Eukaryota; Metazoa; Chordata; Mammalia; Primates; Hominidae. The record is from RNAcentral.
GGAUUCAAGUGAUUCUCCUGCCUCAGCCUUAAGUGAUCCGCCUGGCUCAGCCUCCCAGCGUGCUGGGAUUACAGGUGUGAGCCACCACGACCGGCCCUGAUUGUCUUUCUUUUGGGUAUAUGCUCUGUAUGAGAUUGCUGAAUCAUAUGGUAGCUCUAUUUUUAGUUUUUGAGGAACCUCCAAACUGUUCUCCAUAGUGGUUAUACUAAUUUAUAUUCCUGUCUCUACUAAAAAUAAAAAAUUAAAAAAUUCACCAGGCAUGGUGGCUCAAGCCUGUAGUCCCAGCUACUUGGGAGGCUGAGGCACGGGUUCAAGUAGAGACAUGCUUAUUAUAGAUUCUUUUUUUUUUUUUUUUUGAAAGAACAAAACAUCUACAGCUCUGCAAAGCUGGUGGGACCUGAUGUUUACCUUAAUUCUGACUUGAACUGGAAGCAUUUUAAGAAAACUUCUCAUUGCUUUUCUAACAAACUCCAGCUUAUUUUGCCUUUGUUGCUACUUCUAGCUAGAUUUCAAACUUGCCUGUGGACUUGACAAUGCAAAUUGCAAUUAAUUAUUUCUGGAGUCAUGGGAACACACAGCAUAGAGGGUACGUGGGGCCCCCAGGUGCUGAAUCUAGACAUCUGUGGGGUCUCCUGAGUUCAGCAGCUGUUGAUCCAAUGUCAACGUUGACCAUCAGGGGAGUGGUUUAAGAGUACCAGGCAAAGGGCAAACUGUAGAUCAAUC